UACGUAGGGGCCGAGCGUUGUCCGGAGUUAUUGGGCGUAAAGCGCGCGCAGGCGGCUCAUUGCGCCCGGCGUGAAAGCCCCCGGCUCAACCGGGGAGGGUCGUCGGGGACGGGUGAGCUUGAGGGUAUCAGGGGUUGGUGGAAUUCCCGGUGUAGUGGUGAAAUGCGUAGAGAUCGGGAGGAACACCCGUGGCGAAGGCGGCCAACUGGGAUACACCUGACGCUGAGGCACGAAGGCGUGGGGAGCGAACGGGAUUAGAUACCCGUGUAGUCCCUGAGCGGGCUGGCAAGG
RNAcentral lists this ribosomal RNA (291 nucleotides) under uncultured prokaryote. RNAcentral describes it as "partial 16S ribosomal RNA". It matches the Rfam family "Bacterial small subunit ribosomal RNA", at positions 524 to 820 of the family's 1533-position model. The record is from RNAcentral.